UGGGGAAUAUUGCACAAUGGGCGCAAGCCUGAUGCAGCGACGCCGCGUGCGGGAUGACGGCCUUCGGGUUGUAAACCGCUUUUGACUGGGAGCAAGCCCUUCGGGGUGAGUGUACCUUUCGAAUAAGCACCGGCUAA
This 137-nucleotide ribosomal RNA is filed under the name uncultured bacterium. RNAcentral describes it as "partial 16S rRNA". It matches the Rfam family "Bacterial small subunit ribosomal RNA", at positions 355 to 500 of the family's 1533-position model. The record is from RNAcentral.